This is a small nuclear RNA of Protopterus annectens (West African lungfish), 166 nucleotides long. RefSeq annotates it as U1 spliceosomal RNA. The transcript has a single exon. The record is from RefSeq and is a predicted model, not a curated record. NCBI's taxonomy places the organism in Eukaryota, Metazoa, Chordata, Ceratodontiformes, Protopteridae.
ACACUUAUCUGGCAGGAAGAAUGCCAUGGUCAAGAAGGUGGUUUCCCUAGGGUGAGACUUUUCCAUAGCACACUUCUGUUGGGGUGGUCCCUGUGAUUUCCCCAAAUGUAGGAAACUUGACUGCAUAAUUCAUGGAAGAGGAUGAUUGCUUUUGUGCACUCCCCUA